Molecule: long non-coding RNA, 547 nt
Organism: Rhipicephalus microplus (southern cattle tick)
Lineage: Eukaryota; Metazoa; Arthropoda; Arachnida; Ixodida; Ixodidae
Source: RefSeq, a predicted model, not a curated record
AUUUCGUUUUUUCGUAAAAAUAAAAUUAUUUUUGCUGCUUUGUUUUUAUGUUAUAUAUAUUUCCGUUUACUCUUUGUACUUAACCGCAUUACUUAAGCAUUUUAUUGCGCCUUUGUACGUCUGCGGAGCUGUAACCCCGAACUUGUUUUGGCGUGCUCGCUGGUCGGGCGCUGCAGCUUGUCGGUUCUGCAUCGUUUUUUCUCGUUUUUUGAGGUGUGCUUGCGCGCUGCGUUCGUGUUUUGUGUUCUGCCGGUGCUGCCUAUUACGAAGAUGAACUCUACUCAAGCGAGGACGUGUGGCGUCGCAUUUUGGAACACUCGCCAGUCUAUACAUGCUCGUCGUAGGAAGAGAGUGUGGGAGACGUCUGGACUAGCCCAUCAUCCAAGGCUGGCUUGUGGAAAAUUUGACUGCUGGUGCACAUCAGUGGCGCAUGGCUUCUGUUUCUUCUGAAAAGCGAGCUGCAGAGAGCCACCUGGUAGCUGUAUUCAAGGAGCACAAAGGUUCAGGGUGUUCAAAGUUAACCCUUUUGUUUUUCCUUAAAAGAGAA